This 468-nucleotide ribosomal RNA is filed under the name uncultured bacterium. RNAcentral describes it as "partial 16S ribosomal RNA". It matches the Rfam family "Bacterial small subunit ribosomal RNA", at positions 28 to 507 of the family's 1533-position model. The record is from RNAcentral.
GACGAACGCUGGCGGCGUGCUUAACCCAUGCAAGUCGAACGGAAAGGCCCUGCUUUUGUGGGGUGCUCGAGUGGCGAACGGGUGAGUAACACGUGAGUAACCUGCCCUUGACUUUGGGAUAACUUCAGGAAACUGGGGCUAAUACCGGAUAGGAGCUCCUGCUGCAUGGUGGGGGUUGGAAAGUUUCGGCGGUUGGGGAUGGACUCGCGGCUUAUCAGCUUGUUGGUGGGGUAGUGGCUUACCAAGGAUUUGACGGGUAGCCGGCCUGAGAGGGUGACCGGCCACAUUGGGACUGAGAUACGGCCCAGACUCCUACGGGAGGCAGCAGUGGGGAAUAUUGCACAAUGGGCGGAAGCCUGAUGCAGCAACGCCGCGUGCGGGAUGACGGCCUUCGGGUUGUAAACCGCUUUCGCCUGUGACGAAGCGUGAGUGACGGUAAUGGGUAAAGAAGCACCGGCUAACUACGUG